Molecule: long non-coding RNA, 550 nt
Organism: Felis catus (domestic cat)
Lineage: Eukaryota; Metazoa; Chordata; Mammalia; Carnivora; Felidae
Exons: 2
Source: RefSeq, a predicted model, not a curated record
UCUGCAAGAAACACAAACAGCCAUCUGUUAGGGAAGAAACAGCACGGCUUCUCGGCUUCUCAUUUAACAAGCAACCCACCUUGGAAAAUAUCUUCCCCGAUGACAUCGUCCUCCUGUGGCUGAAAGCUCUCCCUGAUGGAGGGGGCCGGGCCGUGCUAGGCUCCCCAGGGGAGAGGCUGCGGACAAGAACAUCUUGUGAUGCAAACAGGGUCGUCUUCAGUGUUAACCUAACAGGAUGCCUGACGUUAGGAAGCCUGCCAGCAAUUUCGCAUCUCGAAAGCAGAGUCGGCCAGCCAGGGAGGUCCCGUGGCCCACGAAUGCCACGCUGACCACAUGACCUCGGGGGGGACUCCCAGGCCCGUGCACGGUGCGGGGAACACGGCUGUCUGCGGAACGAGCACAUCAAAACCCCCCUCCACAAACACAGAAUUCUGAUGCAGUCACAGGAUCCCAGAUGUUUCUUCUUCCGAUGCAGUAGAGAAUUAGUUGUUUAUUACAAAUGAAUAUUGACAACACAUCAAGGACUUAAUAAAACAUUUCCAGGGUAAAA